RNAcentral lists this ribosomal RNA (892 nucleotides) under Oryza nivara. Its description in RNAcentral is "eukaryotic LSU rRNA". It matches the Rfam family "Eukaryotic large subunit ribosomal RNA", at positions 1 to 974 of the family's 3401-position model. Lineage: Eukaryota; Viridiplantae; Streptophyta; Magnoliopsida; Poales; Poaceae. The record is from RNAcentral.
CCCCAGGUCAGGCGGGACUACCCGCUGAGUUUAAGCAUAUAAAUAAGCGAAGGAGAAGAAAUUUACUAGGAUUCCCCUAAUAACCGAAUUGUAGUCUGGAUUAGAGUCCUCAGCGAAGGACCGAGCCCAACUCCCAUGGAAAGGGGCACCUGGGAGGGUGAGAGCCCCAUUCGGCAUGGACCCGAUCGCCCCAUGAGGCGCCGUCGACGAGAUUGGUUGUUUGGGAAUGUAGCCCAAAUCGGGCGGUAAACUCCGUCCAAGGCUAAAUACAGCGAGAGAUCGAUAGCAAACAAGCACCACGAGGGAAAGAUGAAAAUGACAUUGAAAAGAGAGUCAAAAAGUGCUUGAAAUCGCCGGGAGAGAAGCAGAUGAGGGCCGACGAUGCGCCCUGGCCGUAUGCAGAACGGCUUCGGCUGGUCUACGAAUUGGCUCAGGGCGUGAACUGUUGUUGACUGCGCCGGCGGCCAAAGCUUGGGGGCCUCGCGCCUCCGAUAGCCAUCGUCGGCGCAGCCGGUCACCGCGCCCCUCGGGGCACUGCGUUGCAACGGCCUGCAGGCUCCCCAUCCAACCUGUCUUGAAACACGGACCACGGAGUCUGACAUGCGUGCGAGUCGACGGGUUUUGAAACCUGGAAUACGCAAGGAAUCUGACGAGUGGCAGGCCCUCGCGGGCCAUACCUCUGGCCGCCCUGAUCUUCUGUGAAGGGUUCGAAUUGGAGUACGCAUGUCGGGACCCGAAAGAUGGUGAAUUAUGCCUUGAGCGGGCGAAGUCAGAGGAAACUCUAAUGGAGGCUCGAAGCGAUACUGACGUGCAAAUCGUUCGUCUGACUUGGGUAUAGGGGCGAAAGACUAAUCGAACCAUCUAGUAGCUGGUUCCCUCCGAAGUUUCCCUC